Scophthalmus maximus (turbot) is the source of this 1159-nucleotide long non-coding RNA. RefSeq lists it as uncharacterized. The record is from RefSeq and is a predicted model, not a curated record. NCBI's taxonomy places the organism in Eukaryota, Metazoa, Chordata, Actinopteri, Pleuronectiformes, Scophthalmidae. The transcript is spliced from 2 exons.
AAAGAACAUUUUGUACUGUUGUAUUGAAAUAACACUUUGCACUGAACUAACAUAUAGCUAAAUAAUGGAAUAACAUAUAGCUAAAAAGUACUGACACCUAUAAAGCUUGACAGACGUUAUACUUAAGAUUUUAUAACAAAUCUUGCAGAGCCUGCACUACGUGCAUAAGACUUAUUAACAUACAGACAGUAGAUGUCACAAGAUGUUCUGUUCAGACCAAAUUUAGCCUAGGACAGCAAAAUAAUUACACAAUAACGAUUACGAUAAGUCCAGACACAUAGUCAGGCGGUUCACCCACGUACAGACCGCACCCACCAUGCGGGAUAAAUAGCAAAUGAACUAUUGUACCAGGUUCCUGUCCUCUGCGCGAUCCAGCCCUGGUUGGUGACUCGUGAGACAGAAACCCAGAGACUCUUAAACGAACACACGGCAAGGACAUGGCCGAGGUCUAGGACGAGAAUCCUUCCGAACACGGCUCCUCCAAGCCAUUUCACAGGGAAGGACCACAUCAAGAGCCAAUGGAGGCAGGUACAGACCUUGGGCAAUGAGUUCUGGGUUUGCUGGAGACAGUAGUACUUGCCAACUCUGCUGAGCAGACGCAAAUGGAAUGAGACACACAGAGAUCUGCAAACUGGAGACAUUCACGUUCUUUUGAAAGAUAGUCAGCUGUCCCGUAAUGAGUGGCCUAUGGGAUUAGUCACCUCUGUUUUCCCAAGCAGCGAUGGGAAAAUGCUAAAGAUAGAGUGGUAAAGAUAGAAAGCAAUGGCUUUAAGUUCUUUUUUUAAUAUUUAUGCUUAUAAUCAUAUAUUGAAGAGUAUUUGUGACAGAUGAUGUUUAAUUAUGUAGCAUUUGUGAAUGUUCAGUUUGCUGGUUAUACAUUCAAGUUUAGCAUAAAACAUACAUUGAACAGGAUUUACAGUGACAUUAGUUGGAUUUAAGUAAAUUGUUUAUUGUAUAUGGUGCCCUAUAUGUUUCACUGUAUCAGAGGAUUUGUUCAUUUCCAUCUAAAUUCAUAUUUCUGUAAAAGAGAGUAAUUUGUGUAUUUUCUUUUUCUUUAUACUUUUCACUCUUUUUCAAUUACAAGAAUGUGACAGCACUGGAAAGUCAUUAAACUUGAGAGCUGAGAUGCUACCUUCCUGACUCUCAUUUCGGAAUUGAA